This 412-nucleotide long non-coding RNA is filed under the name Manihot esculenta (cassava). RNAcentral's name for it is "long non-coding RNA (MESC_LNC012234)". The record is from RNAcentral. Lineage: Eukaryota; Viridiplantae; Streptophyta; Magnoliopsida; Malpighiales; Euphorbiaceae.
AUGACCCUCAAUUGAUGAGAAUAAAUUGAAAAUUGUGUGAAUGAACUUAAUGUGACUUGAUUUAGCAAUUGGUGUUGAUUUGCCCAAAUCAUUGAGAGAAAGAAAAUUCAGCAAAGGCAAAGACCUCAAAAGCACAAAUCUAAGAUUGUUCCAAUGGUCAAAAUACUAUGAACAGAGCUAGUAGCCACUUGGAAAGGUGACCAACUGAGUAACUGGGAGUGGGUAUCACAAAUAUGUACCUUCACGUAAAAAGGUUGGUGACUUUUUCAAGCAAGAUCUAAAGUGCAAAAGUCUGAAUAAAGUACUUCAAGGUAAGGGCAAGUCACUCUGAAAGCUAGAAAAAGUCUUUAACAAAAAUGUGCAUGUAUGGUCUCUCUUGAGGAAAACAAAUCCUAGCCAUGGUGAGUAAAGG